RNAcentral lists this ribosomal RNA (449 nucleotides) under uncultured bacterium. Its description in RNAcentral is "bacterial SSU rRNA". It matches the Rfam family "Bacterial small subunit ribosomal RNA", at positions 62 to 543 of the family's 1533-position model. The record is from RNAcentral.
UCGAACGAGAAAGGGGGGCAACCCCCGAGUACAGUGGCGCACGGGUGAGUAACACGUGGGUAAUCUGCCUCUGGGUGGGGAAUAACUCUGGGAAACCGGAGCUAAUACCGCAUAAGCCUGAAAGGGGAAAGGCGCAAGUCGCCGAGAGAGGAGCCCGCGGCUGAUUAGCUGGAUGGUGGGGUAAAGGCUCACCAUGGCGGAGAUCAGUAGCCGGCCUGAGAGGGCACACGGCCACACUGGCACUGAAACACGGGCCAGACCCCUACGGGAGGCAGCAGUGGGGAAUCUUGCACAAUGGGGGAAACCCUGAUGCAGCGACGCCGCGUGAGCGAUGAAGCCCUUCGGGGUGUAAAGCUCUUUCGGCAGGGACGAUGAUGACGGUACCUGAAGAAGAAGCUGCGGCUAACUACGUGCCAGCAGCCGCGGUAAUACGUAGGCAGCGAGCGUUG